GUACAAUUAAUAGACACAAUUCUUGAACGAACUGAAGAGCAGAUUGAGUAACUCUGGUUCACAAAAACCUCGUUUUUCCACAACUGAGUAAAGACUGUAGCGCCAAAUCUAUUGAGAGGAGCUGGUUGCCUCUUGGCUAGGCCCAGAAAGGUAGUUGCAAUAUCUAUGGACAUUGAAGCCAUGGAUAAUAUUCCUCUAGUAUUUCUUCUAUGGAUUUUUUAGGGCGUUUUCUAGUGGUGAUUUUAGGGGUCUGUGGGGUUUUAGAGGGUGAGGUUUUUCUGGAUAGUGUGGGGUUGCUGUGGGGAGAUGUAACCGAAACAGAUAUAUAUUGACAAAAAUAAUUUAUGGGUUUCAAAUAAAAAUGGGAAAAAAUCCUGUUGGAUCGGGUCCAGCACUCCAGUCUGACAGUCGUGGUAACAGAAAUUGUACUACGACGCGAGGCUGGGAUGAAGAUUCUGUCGGAACUCUCAAGAACCACGGCUGCAUAUGAGCAGCAUUUAUAGCUUCCUAACAAUAACAGUAGUAGUACUUUUAACUUUUAAGACGGCAGUUCAUCAUGCAUUUCCGUGUAUUCGCAGAAUUGCGCAUUUUGAAGGCACAAAUAUAUUGUAUCAAACCCGUUAUUAAAAUCAUAGCCAAAUAUGUUUGGAUUAACUGAGUUUGUUUGGAUAGAGAGAAUUUGGAUGAUUUAUUUGAGAUAUUUACUGUAGCACUUUUUGUGAUGUGAUGUAUGUGAGAUAAAAAGGUGAUUGGGAAGAUAAAAAGGUGAUUGGGAUUUGUGAGGAUAAAUUUUGCAAACCAAAAUCUCUCUAUCCAAACAAACUCAACUGUUUUUUGAAGUGGUUUUAAAAAAUUUUACUGUAAUAUAUUUUGAAAUAUUUUAUAAAAUAUUUAAAAGUAGUAGAGUUUUUAAAAUAUAUUUUGAAAUAUUUUUUAAACAUUAAAAAAAAUUAAACUACUUUUUAGAGUACCUUUUAGAAUAUUUUUUUAAAAUUUUAUAGUAUUUGAAAAAUUAAUUUUUAAAAAACUGAAGAAUCCAAACAGAGCAACUCUCACUCUAGCUUGUAUAAAAUCUUUUAUAAAAUCAUUGCAAAAAAAUUUUUUUUAUAAAAUAGCUCCUCAUAGCCAAAUGUGUAAUAUCCUCGUGUUAAAAACAUAUCCAACAAACUAAAACCUUUAGUAUAUAUGACGUGUCAAAUUGGGCCAAUAAUGUGUAAAAGUACUAGCUUUAUUUGUAAGUUACGAACCACUCAACUGACUCAAGAGGGCAACAACCAAAUAAUUUUUUUUUUUAAGGAAAGCAACAACCUAAAUUUCACUUGACUUGUGAUAUUAAGAGUUUUUUUUUUUUUUUUUUUUUUGGUUGGGAUGGGGGGAAAGGAGCUACACUUUGCAGUUUUGGAAAGGACAGUUUGAGCCUUGAACUUUUUUUUUGUCAAAGUCAGUUAAGACUUCUGAUAAAUUUACAACCCUUAAUCCACAAGAAACCACAAAAGCCGGUAACUCUUGAGGUUCCUGAGGAGACUUUUAAAUCUACCCCAAAUCCCCCCAACCCUGAUGUGGGAACUAACCUAUGCAAGGAACCUGCUGCUAAGUCCUAAAGAGACCCCAAUUACCCCGAAAAGGCUAGUGUCUUUUUUGUCAAAGCCAGUUAAGACUUUUGAUAAAUUUACAACCCUUAAUCCACAGGAAACCACAAAAGCCGGCAACUCUUGAGGUUCCUGAGAAGACUUAUAAAUCUACCCCAAAUCCCCCCCAACCCCGAUGUGGGAACUAACCUAUGCAGGAACCUGCUGCUAAAUCCUAAAGAGGCCCCGGAAAGGCUAGUGUCUUUUUUGUCAAAGCCAGUUAAGACUUUUGAUAAAUUUACAACCCUUAAUCCACAGUUUGAGCCUUGAACUUGAGCAUACUUAAGUUGAAGUAAUGAAUGCCUAAUAAGUAGUAAGUAGUAGGAGGGCUAUGAUGUUUGACGUUUGGGUCCAGGCGUCUAAAUAUAGUUGGGCCAAAAUUUUGGACCUGGGCUGAAAGACGUUACUACAAAUGGUUGGGGCAUGUUUUUAAAAUCGGACGUAGAGUUUUGAUGCGUCACUGUUGAAUCUAAAGAGAAAUGGCUUUCACUGGGCUUGCUUGGGAGGUGUGGGAACAAGGCCCAUGCACACGUAAUCUAAAUACCACUGUACCUGAUGCGUCAGACUUAUUAUCCGAGAAUUAUUCGUGCCUUGAUAAUUUUUGAUUGGUUGAUGUCUUUUUCGGCUCGAGUUGUAAUUUUGGACUUUCUAUCCAUCAAGUAAAUGCAUCAUCAAAGUCAUGAAGAUAUUACUAUAAGGAUGUGACGAUUAUUUAGCCCCCCCAGGGGACCCCCCCAAUCCCCACUUGGCCCAAUCCCCUCUCUUUCAUAGUACAAUAAUUUCCUCAGGAAUAUCAUCAAAAUUUGCAGUUUAUCCUAUUCAAUCAUAAAUGAUAAUGUGAGCGUAGAAUAUUACAUAUUGUGUUUUGGGUACAAAACAAUGCACAUAAAGCCAACAAGUACAUAACCAAUUCAAAUGGGCAAGAGCUAGCCAUCAGAAAAAGGUUUUAUUUAAGUCCCUUCUUGGCUUUUGGUGCAAGUCAAGAAUCAAAAUCUCCUAUUUACAUUUUCGUCCAAACUUUCCUGAAAAUUCCAACAGCAAGUUCAUAGCUGUUUGAUCCGAUGGUUGUUCAGUUCCUUUUGAAUUCUUUCAUCGACACUCUUUUGAAGUCACCCGUUUUUUUAGUAGAGAGUAUGAGUAAAAAUAAAAUAAAGAAUAUCACGUCGGGAAAAAAAUAAAGAAAGCCAACAAGUACAUUAACAAAAAAACAAACUCAAUCUUGAUAUUUUCCUUGUUAGGUUUUGAAUUUCGUGGCCAGUAAUUUGUUUCACCAACCAUACGCACCCCUCAAUUGCAAUGAACAACUGGAUAAGUUUAAGCCGGCUGAGCGUAGUUUUGUACUUAAAAGGUGUCUCGUUUUUUCUUUGACAUUUUCAAUGUUCAAAUGCCAUGUAGCGUCAGCAGAUUCAGCACGCCUCAAUUUCUUUUUAUCCAAAAAGUAACUAUCCAUCCGGAAGUGGAUUAAGACUAAUCUAGGUGCGCGCCGCUGUGCAGUUCUAGCAUAUUAAUUAAUGAGUUUUUUUAGCAAGUAAAAAAUAGCUCCCGAGUUGAUUUUUGAUGUUUCAUGGCAUUUGGGAUGGAGUCAUUUAUUCCUCAGUUUGAUGUACACAAACUAAUUAUUUCUUCCACAACUCUUUUUUUUUUUUUUUUUUGUGGGUGGGUAAUCUUAUCAAAAGACAAUGGAUGGCCCUCAUUUGUAUAUAAAAUACACACAAUUAUAUAAGGUAUGUUUAGUGUACGAGUUUGACGUGCCUAGUAAUGAAUCAUUCAUUUUUUUAAAAAAAAAAAAAAAAAGUUUUUUCAUCAGCAUGAAUCAUAUAUUCAUUGUUGAAGUCCUUGAAGUUAAAAGUAGAAUUUUACACGCCAACAAUUUACCUUGUACAAAUUUAAGGCAAAUUCUAAAUGUCAAGUUUUUGUAAUGUUUUAAACAUUUCAUUUUUGUGUCUUCUUCCUUCUUGCCUAUCAUUAAUUUGGGCGAGGCGCUCAAGUAUGGAUAAUGCUUGUUUAUUUUACACAACACAACAUGGACAGGUGUGCUUGUCUGAUGUUGUUGUCUUUGUGGCAAUUCAUUUGAAACCCCAAAAAAAAAAAAAAAUGCAUUUAAGUUGAAGAUUAUUCGACUCUUUUUUUAAUUGGUAUUUAUGCAAUAUUUUUGUAAUCUAAUGAUGAUUGAUAAACAAAUAUUAUUAUUAGUUUUCUUUGAGUAUUCACCCUUCAAAAGAAAAGCUUAUUCUAAACUUGUUACGAAGGAGAUAACCAUCAUCUUUCCGUAAGAAGGAUUGUUCAUUCAUCUGUAAAAAUAUAAUUCUUAAGGUUGGAAGGAAUUUUGCUAGACGGUAAAUUAUUUGAGAUAAUUCUGUGAAAAAAUAUUGUCGCAUUUUUUUUUUACUUUGAUAUAUGUAAAAUAAAAAGGUGAUUGAAAAAUAAAAAUACGUAAAUAAGAUGAAAAUAAUAUGUAAUUCGACCAUUCAGAUAGAGAAUUCCAUUCCCUAGAAGCAGUGUUACUACUAGUAUUACUUAAUUUAGUAGAGUCGUCAAAUGAUGAUAACGCUGUGAUGAUCAAGGAUCAUGGUAAUGAUUAAAACUUAGGUUGUGUUUGGAUUGUAUUUUUCGUGAUUUUUCAUGGAAAAAUUACUGUAGCGAUUUGAUAUAUGUGAGGGAAAAAGGUAAUAGGAAAAUGUGAUCACGGAAAACGACAUAAUUUUUCGACAGAAACCGGCAAUCCAAACAAGGCCUUAAUUAAACACCAUUUAACAAAUUACCAAGAAACAUUGCGUAAACAAUCUUCCACAAGUGGACCCAAAUAUCCGAGCCCGAAAGGAUAAAGCAGGCCGGAAACAAAGAAAGAAAGAAAGAACGAGGGAAACAAAAAUCCCUAUACCUCAAAUGGGACCCACCCAAAACCCCCCCGCCCCCUUCGGCACCACGUCCCAAAGUCUUAUCUAAUCACCCCAAGUGACUAAAUCUAAAUUUGUACCUCAAAGCUUUUCUUGUUUUCUAUUUUGCACCUUAAUCUUUUAUGUUAAAUGCAAAUUUUUGUAUUUGUCCUAUUUGAGUUCCCUGGCAUCUUUUUAUUUUGAAACUUUCCCAGAGCCGUACUCU
RNAcentral lists this long non-coding RNA (4730 nucleotides) under Coffea arabica (coffee). RNAcentral describes it as "long non-coding RNA (CARA_LNC003063)". The record is from RNAcentral. Lineage: Eukaryota; Viridiplantae; Streptophyta; Magnoliopsida; Gentianales; Rubiaceae.